This 1407-nucleotide long non-coding RNA is filed under the name Callithrix jacchus (white-tufted-ear marmoset). RNAcentral's name for it is "lncRNA (ENSCJAG00000084365.1)". The record is from RNAcentral. Lineage: Eukaryota; Metazoa; Chordata; Mammalia; Primates; Cebidae.
AUGCCCCUUGCCCGCUUCUCCCCGUGCGCCCACCCUUCACCCCUUCUCCGGAGCCCAGCACCGCAGACCCCGCCCCCCACUCCCCAGACCCUCCUCCGCCACGAGCUCCGCCCCGGCCCCUUUCCCCACCGCGCUCGGACCCCGGCCCGGGCGCGCCCCUCCCCCGCGCGGCCCCCGCCCAGCCCGCCCGGGGCGCCGCUCACCUCGUGCCCGCCGCCCGCUCGCUCCUCGCUCCGUAGCCGGGUGCCGGCGCCCGCGGGAGCCGCCUGCUGGGGUGUGGGGGGUGCCCACGCCCCCGCGAUGCCCCCGCCGCCGCCGCCGCCGCCGCCGCCGCCGCAACAGUUGUCCGGGUUCUGGGGGCUGCGGGGCUGCGGGAACGCGGGGACUCCAGGCUCCCGGAUCGGAAGGCGCCCGCUCCUAGGCGCGCCGGACGCGGCGCGGAUCUGGGGCUGGGGCCCAGGCUGUGGCCGGGGCUGGGGCUGGGGCUCUGGCUCCGCGUCUGGCUCGGGGUCCGGCGGCCGGCCGCCUGCCCCGCCGCCGCCCGCGGCUACUCGGCGGCCCGCGCCGCCCGGCCGCCCGCCGGCCCCGAGCCCCGCGCCGCGCCCGCCACCGCCGCCACCGCCGCUGCCGCGCUCAUGCUCGCCGGGCCCCGCGCUCGCCGCCGCCGCCGCCGCCGCUGCCCACUUCACUCUUUGGCGCUCGCUCCGCGCCGCGCCCUCUGCUGCCCCCUCGCCCGGGCUCGCCGAGCUCCUGCCGCCCUGCCCGCCGCGCUCCCCCUCGCCCGCGCCCGCCGCGUCCUGCGCUCUCCUCUCUCCCUUUCUCACUCCUCCCUUCCCCUCUCUCUCUCUCUCUCUGAGUCCUCCUCUCAUUCUUUCUUCCGCGGUCUCUUUUCUCCCCCUCUGGCUCUUUCUCUCCCUCCUGCUGUUCGCGGUGGCUUCUCACUUUCUUUUAACUUCCUUUCCGUCCUCGUUCUUUCACGCCUUCCUCGUUCUUUUCCUUCCUUCUACUUGUCCCUUCCCUCUUCCGCUUCCCUGCCCCGUUUCCUUCCUCCCUCCUUCCUUCCUCUCCGUUCUUCCUCUCUCCUUUGUUCAUUCCGCCUCCUUCCCUCCUUCCUUCCCACUCCCUUUUCCUCUCCUCUCCCCACCCCGUCUCCAUCCUUCCACCCCCUUCCAUGGCACACACACCUGCUCUGUUUGGGGGCCAAAUUAUUCCCGCCAGCCCGGCCCUGGGCAGAGGGAUCAGGGGCAGGGGCAGCUUGGGCCAAGGACCAAUCACACGAGACAAGCUCCUCUGCCCGAGUUUCCUGUAGGAAAGACCCUCUUCCCGACCCUCCUGGGCCACUGCGUGGGGUCUCCUCCCUGGCUCCUGCUCCCCUCUCCACCCGGCUGCCCCCCAGCUCCAGCCUGA